RNAcentral lists this ribosomal RNA (981 nucleotides) under uncultured Bulleidia sp. Its description in RNAcentral is "bacterial SSU rRNA". It matches the Rfam family "Bacterial small subunit ribosomal RNA", at positions 509 to 1503 of the family's 1533-position model. The record is from RNAcentral. Lineage: Bacteria; Bacillati; Bacillota; Erysipelotrichia; Erysipelotrichales; Erysipelotrichaceae.
CAGCAGCCGCGGUAAUACGUAGGUGGCGAGCGUUAUCCGGAAUUAUUGGGCGUAAAGGGUGCGUAGGCGGUCUGUUAAGUUCAUGGUCAAAUUGUGGGGCUCAACCCCAUCGCGCCAUGGAUACUGGCAGACUAGAGUAUUGGAGAGGCAAGUGGAAUUCCAUGUGUAGCGGUAAAAUGCGUAGAUAUAUGGAGGAACACCGGUGGCGAAGGCGACUUGCUAGCCAAAGACUGACGCUGAGGCACGAAAGCGUGGGGAGCAAAUAGGAUUAGAUACCCUAGUAGUCCACGCUGUAAACGAUGAAUACUAAGUAUUGGGGAGACUCAGUGCUGCAGCUAACGCAUUAAGUAUUCCGCCUGUGGAGUAUGCACGCAAGUGUGAAACAUAAAGGAAUUGACGGGGGCCCGCACAAGCGGUGGAGUAUGUGGUUUAAUUCGACGCAACGCGAAGAACCUUACCAGGCCUUGACAUCCCUUGCGAAGUUCUAGAGAUAGGAUAGAGGUUAUCAAGGAGACAGGUGGUGCAUGGUUGUCGUCAGCUCGUGUCGUGAGAUGUUGGGUUAAGUCCCGCAACGAGCGCAACCCUUGUCUUCAGUUACCAUCAUUAAGUUGGGGACUCUGGAGAGACUGCCGGUGAUAAACCGGAGGAAGGUGGGGAUGACGUCAAAUCAUCAUGCCCCUUAUGGCCUGGGCUACACACGUACUACAAUGGCUAUUACAACGUGGAGCGACUGUGCGAACAGAAGCGAAUCACUGAAAGAUAGUCUCAGUUCGGAUUGGAGUCUGCAACUCGACUCCAUGAAGUUGGAAUCGCUAGUAAUCGCGGAUCAGCAUGCCGCGGUGAAUACGUUCUCGGGCCUUGUACACACCGCCCGUCAUACCAUGAGAGUUGGUAAUACCCGAAGCCGGUGGCCUAACCGAAAGGAAGGAGCCGUCGAAGGUAGGACUAAUGAUUGGGGUCAAGUCGUAACAAGGUAGCCGU